RNAcentral lists this ribosomal RNA (1274 nucleotides) under Campiglossa misella. RNAcentral describes it as "partial 16S ribosomal RNA". The record is from RNAcentral. Lineage: Eukaryota; Metazoa; Arthropoda; Insecta; Diptera; Tephritidae.
UGCAAAUCAAUAUAAAUUGAUUUAUAAAUUAUUUAUUUAUUAAUUUUGUUUAAAUUAUUUUGUAGUAUAAAUUUAUAUAUAUAUAUACAUAUAUAUAUAUAUAUAUAUUUAUUUAUUAAUUAUAUUAAAAAUAAUUAUAUUUUUUUUUAUGUUUUAGUAAUUUUUAAUGAAAUAAUAAUUUUUAUGAUAGUUUAUUUGUAUUGUAAAAGAUUAUUGAAAAAUUUUGAAAAAUUUUUAUUUAAAAAGAAAAAUUAAUUAUUUGUACCUUGUGUAUCAGGGUUUAUUAAAUAAUUAAUAAUUUUAUUUAUUAAUCUCGAUUUUAUAAGAGUUAAUAAUUUAUGAAAGUUAAUGUUUAAAAAUUAUUUUUAAUAAAUUAUUAGAAAUGAAAUGUUAUUCGUUUAUAAAGGUAUCUAGUUUUUUUAGAAAUAAAUUUAAUUUAUUAAUUUUUAAUUUAUUUAUUAAUUUAUAAAUAAAUAAAUUUAUUAAUUAAAAUAUUUUAAGGGAUAAGCUUUGAAAUAAAAUAUUAAAAAUUUAAUUAAUUUUUUUGAGAAAAUAUAUGCAUAGAAUUAGCAAUUAUUAAAAAUUUUGUUAUAAAUUAUUUUAGAAUUAUAUUAUUUAUUUAUAUUUUAAUUUUUUAUAAAAAUUUUAUUUUUAAUUUUAUUUAAUAAUUAAUAAUGAUAAAAUUAGUAUAUUUCAUGUUUAAAUAAUUGUAAUUGAUAAGUUUAUAUAAAGAACUCGGCAAAUAUAUUACUCGCCUGUUUAACAAAAACAUGUCUUUUUGAGUUAUUUUUAAAGUCUAACCUGCCCAAUGAAUAAAUUUUAAUGGCCGCAGUAUUCUGACUGUGCAAAGGUAGCAUAACAUUAGUCUUUUAAUUGAAGGCUUGUAUGAAUGGUUGGACGAAGUAUAANCUGUUUCAUAUAAAUUUAUUUUAGAAUUUUAUUUUUUAGUUAAAAAGCUAAAAUUAUAUUAAAAGACGAGAAGACCCUAUAAAUCUUUAUAUUUUUUCUUUUUUUAUUUUUUAGAUUUAAUUUUAUUUAAAUAAGAUAAAUUAUUUUAUUGGGGUGAUAUUAAAAUUAAAAUAACUUUUAAUUUUNAAAAACAUUAAUUUAUGAAUAAUUGAUCCAUUAUUAAUGAUUAAAAGAAUAAGUUACUUUAGGGAUAACAGCGUAAUUUUUUUGGAGAGUUCUUAUUGAUAAAAAAGUUUGCGACCUCGAUGUUGGAUUAAGAUAUAAUUUUAGGUGUAGUUGCUUAAAUAAUAAGUCUGUUCGACUUU